Molecule: ribosomal RNA, 848 nt
Filed under: uncultured bacterium
Lineage: Bacteria
Description: bacterial SSU rRNA
Rfam family: Bacterial small subunit ribosomal RNA
Source: RNAcentral
GAGAGCUUGCUCUCUGGGUGGCGAGUGGCGGACGGGUGAGGAAUACGUCGGAAUCUGCCUAUUUGUGGGGGAUAACGUAGGGAAACUUACGCUAAUACCGCAUACGACCUACGGGUGAAAGCGGAGGACCUUCGGGCUUCGCGCAGAUAGAUGAGCCGACGUCGGAUUAGCUAGUUGGCGGGGUAAAGGCCCACCAAGGCGACGAUCCGUAGCUGGUCUGAGAGAAUGAUCAGCCACACUGGAACUGAGACACGGUCCAGACUCCUACGGGAGGCAGCAGUGGGGAAUAUUGGACAAUGGGCGCAAGCCUGAUCCAGCCAUGCCGCGUGUGUGAAGAAGGCCUUCGGGUUGUAAAGCACUUUUGUCCGGAAAGAAAAGCAUUCGGUUAAUACCCGGGUGUCAUGACGGUACCGGAAGAAUAAGCACCGGCUAACUUCGUGCCAGCAGCCGCGGUAAUACGAAGGGUGCAAGCGUUACUCGGAAUUACUGGGCGUAAAGCGUGCGUAGGUGGUUUGUUAAGUCUGAUGUGAAAGCCCUGGGCUCAACCUGGGAAUGGCAUUGGAUACUGGCUUACUAGAGUGCGGUAGAGGGGUGUGGAAUUCCCGGUGUAGCAGUGAAAUGCGUAGAUAUCGGGAGGAACAUCUGUGGCGAAGGCGACACCCUGGACCAGCACUGACACUGAGGCACGAAAGCGUGGGGAGCAAACAGGAUUAGAUACCCUGGUAGUCCACGCCCUAAACGAUGCGAACUGGAUGUUGGGAGCAACUAGGCUCUCAGUAUCGAAGCUAACGCGUUAAGUUCGCCGCCUGGGAAGUACGGUUGCAAGACUGAAACUCAAAGGAAUUGAC